RNAcentral lists this ribosomal RNA (432 nucleotides) under uncultured bacterium. RNAcentral describes it as "bacterial SSU rRNA". It matches the Rfam family "Bacterial small subunit ribosomal RNA", at positions 42 to 473 of the family's 1533-position model. The record is from RNAcentral.
UCAGGCCUAACACAUGCAAGUCGAACGGUAACAGGUCUUCGGAUGCUGACGAGUGGCGAACGGGUGAGUAAUACAUCGGAACGUGCCCAGUAAUAGGGGAUAGCCCGGCGAAAGCCGGAUUAAUACCGCAUACGCCCCGAGGGGGAAAGUGGGGGACCGCAAGGCCUCACGUUAUUGGAGCGGCCGAUGGCUGGUUAGCUAGUUGGUAGGGUAAAGGCCUACCAAGGCGACGAUCAGUAGCUGGUCUGAGAGGACGAUCAGCCACACUGGGACUGAGACACGGCCCAGACUCCUACGGGAGGCAGCAGUGGGGAAUUUUGGACAAUGGGGGAAACCCUGAUCCAGCAAUGCGGCGUGUGCGAAGAAGGCCUCCGGGUUGUAAAGCACUUGGUCAGGGAAGAAAUCCUUGGGCUAAUACCCUAGGGGGAUGAC